Molecule: long non-coding RNA, 10446 nt
Filed under: Capsicum annuum
Lineage: Eukaryota; Viridiplantae; Streptophyta; Magnoliopsida; Solanales; Solanaceae
Description: long non-coding RNA (CANN_LNC016811)
Source: RNAcentral
AUAAUCAACCUUUGACUUAUUCGAUUAUCAAUUUUCGAUCCCGACCCCCAAACAAAUUCAAAUCCUUCAAUUACUCUAUUCACAUGAAUCAGUCAAUCAAUAUCAACCACAGUAAUCACGAUUGCUUGAACACAAUAUCAAAUCAUAUCCUCACAUCAUAACAUCAACCAAACACCAUAUUCGAUCCGAUACACCGAAUACCAUAACUAUUAAAAUAAAAGAGAAAGAGAAUAGAAUUGGACCUCAAGACGAAGCUUUCAAAAUCCAAUAUUACUUGAAUGAGAAAACGUAUUCCGCCACCGGAGACCUCGAAUUGAACCUCGACCCAACAAACCAGAGCUCGAUACACCCUUUUUCUCCAUUUUUGCCAACCCAAAUUGAAAACCCUAAAACGAAGGUAAAUAAGUACCAAAUUCUCGCUCCUGUUAUGGUUUCGAUCAUUUUUCGACUGACUUUUUUGGGAUCGACACUGGUUGAUCCAAUUUUGGUCGCUCACCCGUGGAUUUUGUCCCUUUUCGGUGAAUGGUCGACGGAAUCAGUACUAGAGGGGGUCGAAUUCAGGUCAAAACGGAGCUGGUGGUGUUUCCUGGCCACUAAUUCCGUCGUAACAGUGAUGAAACAUCCAUGAAAAGUGUUUUUCGAUGAGGUUCGAAUAGAAUUAAUGGAGGAGGAAGCGAUAUUCCGAUUAGAUUUGGCCGAAAAGGGUCGCUUGUUUGUGAUUUAUCGGUGGAUUUGGUCAUGGGGUAGGUCAUUUUUGACGAGAGAUGGUGGAUUCCAGCGAUCAAUUUGUCAGAAAACUCAAACUAGUCGGCUGGGAUGCCUCCGUUCUGUAUUUUUGCCCUUCCCACUCUAUUCCUCUCUCUCGCACUGUCCUAAUCUCUCUCUCAUCUUCCUACUCUCACCCCUCUUCUAAUGGUGUUCUCUCCUCUCUUCUUUAAUGGAGUGCCUUUCAGGAGGAUGAUGGUGUAGGCAUAUUAGUGAGUAAGGGAUGUGUACGUGAUGAGUGUGUGACUAUUCCUUGAGGGCCAGUCAGGAUUUUUAUGGAUUUUGUUGUUAAUGGAGAAUGGGGUCUCAAUUCUGUGUGUGUUCAAGUGUGAGUGGAGUCUCAAUUGGAGAAGAUGAGAUAAUCCAUGAUGGUUCCUAUUCUGUUAUUUUCCAUAGAAUCAACUUGUGGGGCCUCUUUUUUUGUAUUUUGUUGUUAGUGUAUUGUUUAUAAUAAUUAUUUCCAAUGAAAGAAAUAAAAUACGAAUGGGGUCGGUUGGGGUGAGUAGGUAGGAGGUUAGGUUGUUAGGAUAAGAUAAAUUUUGUUAAGUGUCAUUAUUUUUGUCAUUUUCUGUAGGGAUAAUUACAUGGGGUAGGGCAUGUGGUAUGACGAGGAUAAAAAUAUGUAACUUGGGUCUUCAGGAGGGACAAAAUUAGGUGUCUACAUCAUGCUCCCUUUGAAUGUAAACAAAAAGUGUUUUCAGACAAAGAAGUAGACAACGAGACAGAAUUUUGACCCGACCAUUAUUCAAAAGAAGGAACAGAAGGAAGAAGGACAACCGAGUCUUGACUUAGGACAACCUACCUACCCAAGUUAUGGAGGAAUCAAGUGACCGGUAUUUCAAAAGAUUUGAAAAAGAAGAACUAUACCGAGUUGGAGAGUCGAGUGAGUUUCCAUCGAGGUUCCGAUCCGUGGCUCUGUCAUUACAUCAAAAUGAAAAUUACAAGUUAAACAUAAAUGAAAAUUACAAAAAUUCUAUCUACGCAGCUUCUAUUGGACUCUUGACUUGAGUUUCAUCACCGUAUUCUUCAGGCGGGCUCCUGAUUUGAAAUUUCUUCAACUUGUUACUUGGUUUUCAAUUUCAACACCCUAUUCUCCAGGCAGACUCCUGACUUGCUAUUUUCGAUCUGUUGACUUUCAUUUUCUUCACUUUGUUACUUGACUUUCAACUUCUUCACCUUUUUGCUUGACUUUCAAUUUCUUCACCUAGCUGCUUGACUUUCUAUUUAUUAGCCCUGUGUUUCGGGCGGACUCCUAAAAUCACAUCAAAACUUGAAAGAAAAUUAUACCAAACAAAGAUUUUUAUAAAAAGAUUUCAUAUGCCAGGAAAGUGAAGUUCCAACAUAAGAAUUAAAUUUUGCCCCAGUUUAUCAUCAAAGGACUUUUGCGAAAGUCACAUAUUAUAGGAAUCAAGGAGAAUGACUCGACUAUAAGGUGCGUCUGAUAGGAAUCAAAGGAAUUGACUCGACUAAAAGGUACGUCUUCUAGGGGUCAAGGAGAAUUACUCGACUAAAAGGUACAUCUUAUAGGAAUCAAGGGAGAUGACUCGACUAAAAGGUACGUCUUACUAGGAAUCAAGGGAGAUGACUCGACUAAAAGGUACGUCUUAUAGGAAUCAAAGGGAAUAAAUCGACUAAAAGGUACGUCUUCUAGGGGCCAAAGGGAAUGAAUCGACUAAAAGGUAUGUCUUAUAGGAAUCAAAGGGAAUAACUCGACUAAAAGGUACGUCUUAUAGGAAUCAAAGUAGAUGACUCAACUAAAAUGUACGUCUUAUAGGAAUCAAAGGAAAUGACUCAACUAAAAGGUACGUUUUAUAGGAAUCAAAAGAGAUGAAUAGACUAAAAGGUACGUCUUCUAGGAAUCAAGGGGGACGACUCGACUAAAAGGUACGUCUUAUAGUAAUCAAAGGGGGAUGACUCGAUUAAAAGGUACGUCUUAUAGGAAUUAAGGGAAAUGAAUUGACUAAAAGGUACGUCUUUUAAGAGUCAAGAGGAAUGUCUUGACUAGAAGGUACGUUUCCUAGGAGUGAAGGUUCAAUUUAAGAAGUGUAUCACCUAGCAAAUGAAAACUGAAAUCCCUGGACAAGUGUGUCUCCGAGGGAUAUAGGAUGAUGAAUUUUUACCAUGAUUUUAUUAUCAAACCUGUGCAUCAAUAUUGCUUUCUGCAUUUUUAAAAGUGAGGCAUUGCAACCCUUGAUGUUUAUGCUCUGAAGUCCCUGCUUUGAAGGUAAUCUGUUUCCUGUUACAUCAAAGAAAACUUGUGAGUUUAAAACAUGGUGGCUGGUUUAUGGCUUUAGCUUUAGCGGAGAUCGCUCUUGCCCUUGUCAUAUUUAAACUUGCUUCCAAUCAUUAACAUAUAUCAUUGACUUGCUGAAUCAUUGACCCGAACUAAGAUUAUUAAGAGUGAUUGAAACAAAAACAGUAUCUCUGCUUUGCGAUGCUUCUAAGAUAGACCCUUUGAACCUUGGUAUUUCCAUGAGUUCCUCAACUUAUCUAUUGACAAAACUUUCUGCAUGCCCUUUUUUUUCGGCUCACAAUAAUGUCUCUUUCAUGUGCUAGCUUUUGUCUUGCUUUGUGAAAUUAAAGAAGCUGGUAUCCAGUUUUAAAAUUUUUUCUCACUUGUUUUGACAGGGAUUUGACUCAAAGAUAAGAAAGAAAAAAAAUAAUAACAAUUUUUUUUAUUCGGAUAACUGACUCAAGAAAGAUAAAACAAAAAUAAAAAAAAAGAAAGAAAAGACAAUGAAUGUUCCUAUUUGAAACAAAGAAACGAAAAAUUCAUCUAAAAAUGAUAGUCAACUCUAAUGAUUAUGCCAUGCAUUUUGGAUUAAGCAACUUGAUCUUUUCAUCCAAACUUUCUACCAAUUGUUGUUGAGUUAAUGGCCUUGAAACUGAGUUGCUUUCUUAGGCCAAAUUCAUUCAGAAACCUCAUUCGGCUAGUGGUGCCUUGAAGGGUUUUUGCCAACAAACUUGUUUCUUUCUCUCAGCUCACCAUUGCCUUGUGGUGCCCGUGAGGGUUUUCACUAAUAAGACUCUCUCAUUUUUAUUUCUCUCAACUUACUAUCGCCUUACGGUAUCAGUGAGGGUUUUAACUAAUAAGACUCUCUCAUUUUUAUUUCUCUCCUGAUUUCUUAUGCUGAGGAAGACAAGUAGUACCCAAAAUACAUCAUCAUAUCCAUUGCAUACUUAGCCUUAGCAUUUUCAAAGAUUAAUCUGAAGGUCUUUCUUUGGUUGUAACUUGACUUUUGGAUAAGUUUAGGAAGAAGGGAUGACAUGAGUCCCAAAUAACACUUGAAGUGGUGUAGGACUUACAACUUUUGGAAUAGACUCAAAAAAUGAGGAUUAACUCAUGCCUCAGUUUCUUUUGACUGGGUAAUUCUAAAUUGUUUAUUUGGUUGGACCGAGCCUGGAGUAGGGCAGCCUACGUAUCUCACCCCCGAAAGAGGAGAAUCAGGUCACGCAUAGUUCCGACAGCUUGUUCUUUUGCUUGAUUAUGAUUUUUUUCUUUUUUUUCUUUUGUUGACUCUUUUAUUGACUUUUUUUUUGCUUUUUAGGACCUUCUGACUCUAUUUUUUUCUUGAUGCUCUUUUCUUUUCCUUUUUUUGGACACAUUUUUUCUCUGAUUUCUUUUUGAAACUUUUUGACUCUGUUGUUUUGCUCGACACUUUUUCUUUUAAGCUUUGCUGAUUCUAUCUUGAUUCCAAAAGAGACGUAUGAAAGAAAAUAACACUAAGGCUCAAAUGGGGUAAACAAAGAACGACACAAUGUUUGAAUAGCAGAAUGAAACGCCUUCGUCAUAUCAAUCCUUGAAGAUGCUAGUAUAUAGCAUGGAAUGUAAAAGUACACGAUCAAUAUCACUCAUGACAUAUUUUACAACACUAACUUUCCCCGAGCAUAUGUGCCACCUUUUCUUCUACACUUGUCGAAUAUACAACUCCACCUUUGUUGUACAUCCCUCACAUUGAAUGACUCAUGCUUUCGUAGAGUUGAUUUUCUUUUUGUUCCUCUUGAUAGGAUUACGCAGACACUGUUUGACCUAACUAAGACAUGUCUUUCAAUUGAUGAUCAAGUUAUUCUUGUGAUUCUCAAAAUAAUUGCCUUAAUUUUCAAAGAAGGCUUGAACUUGUCACCAAAUGUCUCAGAACUCUACCUAUUUUCUCAGAUGCUCUCUUUCCUAACUUUAACUCUCUAAUUCAAUGUUCAUGCUCAAACUGGAUUUUAAGAUCUGACUGAAAAUUCCGCAGGCAUGUCAUAUCACUAGAAUCAACAUAAAAUAUACUGUAUAAAGAAAACAAACAAACAACACAUAUUUGAAACAUAAAAGGAAAGGGACACUUCAUUUAGUUAAAAUAAAAGAUAAAAGGGUUUGAACAUAAACGACAAAGGGACAAAAUAAGAUAGAUCCCGAACUAAAACCCUAAAAUACUCCAGAAAAUAAAAAAUAAAACAAAACAAACUACCAAACCUCUUCCUAGUAGGGAGAUGGGUGACUUCUCAAUUGCUUAGCCUGACAACUUAGCCACUGGUUUGCAUAUCAACAUGACUAGAGCUUUCCUCACUAUCAAUGUUCUGCACCAUAAUCGAUCCAUCUUGAAUUAUAUUUUCAAUUUCUCUUUUCAAAUCUCGACAGUCUUCAAUACCAUGACCCUGAGCAUCAGAAUGAUACGCACAUCGUGCAUUAGGAUCAAAAUUUCUUGAACGCCGAUUAAGAGUAAACCUAAGGAGAGGAGUGAUUAUGCCCCAUUGUACCAAUAUCUAAAAUAAACUGGCAUACGACUCUCCAAUUGGUGUAAACUAUCUCUCGACUUUUUCCUCAUUUCAUCAUUUGACUUGGAUCAAAAAUCAGGCUUAGAAGAGUUUUGGUAUGUUUGUGGAGUUAGAGGAUAACUCUGAGGAGUUGGUGUGUUCCACUAUUGGUAAGAUGAGGGUUGAAUAUGUGGUUGUACGUUAUAUACUGGAUAUGGAGGGGGAGGAGCAUAGUAUAAAGGAUUUUGGGAGUGAUUAUAUAAAGCUUGGGCAUGAACUUGGGCUUGUGCCUGAGAGUGACGACGACGUGGUCUUCUUGACCUUUCCUGUUGUCCAACUACAAUAGCAGAUGCAUCUUCCUCAUUCUUUUUCUCCCCAACACUUCCUGAACCCUUUUGAAUUGCUUGAUUAGUCGCUUUCAAUGUUGCAAAACUCACAAUGCGACCAGUCUUAAUUCCCUCUUCUAUCAUCUCCCCCAUUUUAAGGACCUUUAUAAACGGCUUUCUUUCAUUGGCGGUUUUACUCUAGCAGCUUGUUCGCGACAUCUGAUCACAUACUCUAUGAAACUCAGUAUUCUUCUUCUUCUUCAUACUGGUUAGGGAUUUUUCGUCAGUGAUCAACUCCACAUUGUAUUGAAAUUGUUUCACAAAUUCAUUAGCUAGGUCAUCCCAACUAAUUCACUUGUCGAUGUCUUGGUCAAUAAACCAUUCCGAAGCUAGGCCAGAAAAACUCUCCUCAAAAUAAGCCACGAGUAGUUCUUUCUUCCCUCAGUGCCUCUUAAUUGGUUACAAUAACACCUCAAAUGUGUCAUUGGAUCUCCGUGUCCAUCAUAUUUCUCAAACUUUGGCAUUUUAAAAUCAAGAGGGAGAUGAACACCCGGAAACAUGCUCAGAUCUUUAUAUGAGACACUUUUGUAACCCCCAAGUCCUUGCAAGUUCUUCAUAGCCAGUUCCAAACUUCUCAAUUUUCUGGUCAUUUCCUCUUGUUCUUCUAUCAUAACAAGCUUCUUAGUGUUAGGAAGAAAUUCAGGCGGGUGAGUGUCACCAUAAAGACCAGUCAACUUGAAUGUAGGCUCGAAAGUGUAACGCUGAUCACCAAUAAUAUUCAAUACAAGCUCUCUUGUAGAGUAGGGAGGCACAACUUGUGGAUGAACAUCAAAAGUAGGAGUUUCACGUGGGGUGGCACCACAAAAUCAUGAACAACAGGUGGAGACGAGUAUGUGGUAGUCUUGGAUUGGGGAGUGAGAAAAUGAACAUUGGAUGUGCUUGGAUAUUGUUGCCCCAGAGUCGAUCCUGAUGCAUGUUGUGGCAUAUCAACAAAAAUGGAAAAUUGUGCAUGCGACACGGGAAACAAGCUAGAAAGAUAUUUUAGAUUAUCAAUGGGAACUGGAGGAGGCGGCAACCCAUUAGCCUAAGCUCGACGCAUUUCUAUCAUCUGCUGUCUUAAUUUCCGAAUCUCUUUAUUAUCUCCUAAAUUCUCAUUUCUCGAACUCCCUAUCUGAUUAGUGACAACAAACUCGAUAUCCUUGUUGGCCAUAACUUUUUCUAUGACUUGGUGCAAUAUGGGGGACCAUCCAAAAUGCCACAAACCAACCACCUUAAACUAACUGAACAAGAGAUAGCAAAUGCAUUAGAAUUCAACACUUUUUCUUCAAAACCUUUUUUUUCUUUUUGAAAAGAACACCGAACCCAAGAAGGGCGCCUACGUAUCUCACUCCCGAGAGAGGAGAAUCAGGUGUGUGUAGUUCGUGAAGUCUUGCCAAAAUGGCUAAUUAAUUCUUUUUCCUUUCUUUUUUUUCUUGAAACUUUAAAAAGAAAAGGAAAUAACAAAUUGUCAAAAGAAUUGACAAUUUUAUUUUCUUUUUUCUUUUUGUAUUUUCAAUUUUAAACUCCCUAUACAAAAUGAAACCUAUGAUUACCAAAGAAUUUUUUUUUUUGGAUUUUCGAUAUUGAAUUUCAUAUGAAAAUGAAACAUGAACCUAUUAAAGGAAUUUUUUUUUUGUAGUUUUAUUUUAAAGAUGUAUAUGAAACACCUACUCUAAUAAAGAGUGAAGAAAAUCUCUUUUUCUGGAACUUUUCAAAUAAGAUACCCGAACCAACAAUAGGAUGCCUACGUAUCUCACUCCUGAGAGAGAAGAAUCAGGGGUGCGUAGUUCGUCCAGAUUGGACAAUUAAGGAUUAAUUAACAAACUACACCAAACUUGAGAGGCACGACCAAAGACUAACUAUGAAAAAUGUUAAUAAAAUCUUUUUUAGAGUUUUCAACUUGACACUUCAAAUAAAAAUGACACCAACAAUUAUGAAAGAAAAAAUCUUUUUGGUAUUUGCAUUACAUGAAAUGUAAAAUUUUCUACCAUUUUUUGCAUUUUCUUUUAUAAAAACUGCUAAAUUUUUUUUUUUUUGAAAAUUUCGAAUUAUGAAUGCAUGCUAAAGGAGACAAAGUGAGAAAUUUUCUUGAUGUUUUGGCUUUUGAACAAAUGAGUGCAAAAAAUAAAGAAAUCUUUUUGAAAUUUUGAAUCGUUGAAAAACAAAAGCCAUAAAGAACUCUAAAACUACGAAACUCUUUUUUUCUAUUCGACUCACUUUUCUUUUCUCAUUUUUUUUCACUUUACUUCUAACACAAGUUUUCCCCAAAUCAAUCUGUCAAAUGACAAUAUUUAGCACGUAGGGAUGCUUUAGAGGUGAGUCUCCUACAAAGGACUAAGUAGGACCCGCUAGGUCUUCAAUAUGAUGCACAUAAGCAUGACCUAAAGGCUGACCUACGUUGGGGUUCACUAACAAGGCUGUUCGGGGGAGCGUAUGGUCGAUAGGGGAUCUUUGCUUUCCACCUACUCCAUAACACCGACGGAUUCCCCCUAAAAUAAGGGUGACUCAACUAGAGGUCGUGUACAACACGUGUACUAUAGACUUGUUGCAGAAAGAAUGACUCGGGUUAUGCACAUAAUGCCAUAUAUAAAACGGUAACACACAAAAUAAAACUGUAAACAAAGAGCACGUAGACACUCAACAAUGAUAAACAAUAACACAAAAUAACACAAACAAUAUCUAUACACCCAAAAUGUCAAACAAAGCCGAUACAACUCAAAAAAAUUAGCUCAAAUUCUGAAAACUCCCCAGCAGAGUCGCCAGAGCUGUCACACCUCAUUUUUUACUCCAAAAAGAUUAUUUAAGGUUCGAAAGGGUUUUCAUUAUUAAAGUGACAAAAAAUGAAAAUUUUGUUUCAAAAAGGAUUAUUUACAUUUAAACUCAGAGUCACCACUUGACAUAAUUGGGUGUGCCAAGUCAUAUUAGGAAAAUCCUUUUCGAAAUAAUUUGACACUUAAAAAGACUGAUUUGCGAAUAGAGAUUUCGGCUAAGGAAUUCUGUUGACUGAGGGGAAGGUAGUAGGCACCCCUCGAUCCCGUGGUUCGAUCAUGGUCUCUUGGUGAAGCGUAUCGUCUCAUUUUGACACUAUGAAUGUACAAACCACACAAAAACACGUAAAACAGUCAAACAAACAAACAAAAGAAAAACUAAUCAAAAGUACAGUAUCCAGUCCAAUUUAUACAGUCCAAAAUAGAAAAAUACAAAAAUAAACCCUAUCUAACCUACACUAAUACUAACUACACUCCCUUGCUUUACCCGAUGCCUCGGGACUUCCUCACGAACGUCUUUUGCCAACAUAGUACGUCGGGACAUUCCCCGGUGAAUAAAUCAAGGUGUAUCGGGGCAUUCCCCGGCUAAAUAAAUACAUUUGAAUUAAAUAUGAUAAACUAGAAACCAAACAUUCACACGUGCAUUAAACAUUCAAAACAUUUAAUAAACACAUCACUCCUAAAUAUUUGCCUACCCAAACCUACUUUUAGCUAUUCAUUCGAUGACCUAAUCAUGAUGCUAGCCAAUUCAACAGUAUCCAGUAAUGAAUCAAAAUAAUCAACCUUCGACUUAUUCGAUUAUCAAUUUUCAAUCCUGACCCCCAAACAAAUUCAAAUCCUUUAAUUACUCUAUUCACAUGAAUCAGUCAAUCAAUAUCAACCAUAGUAAUCACGAUUGCUUGAACACAAUAUCAAAACAUAUCCUCACAUCAUAACAUCAACCAAAUGCCAUAUUUGAUCCGAUACACCGAAUACCAUAACUAUUAAAAUAAAAGAGAAAGAGAAAAGAAUUGGACCUCAAGACGAAGCUUUCAAAAUCCAAUAUUACUUGAAUGAGAAGACGUAUUCCGCCACCGGAGACCUCGAAUUGAACCUCGACCCAACAAACCGGAGCUCAAUACACCCCUUUUCUCCAUUUUCGCCAACCCAAAUUGAAAACCCCAAAACGAAGGUAAAUUAGUACCAAAUUCUCGUGCCUAUUACGGUUUUGAUCAUUUUUCGAUUGACUUCAUCGGGAUCGAGACUGAUUGAACCAAUUUUGGUCGCUCAACCAUAGAUUUUGUCCCUUUUCGGUGAAUGGUCAUCGGAAUCAGUACUAGAGGAGGUCAGAUUCAAGUCGGAGUGAAGCUGGUGGUGUUUCCUGGCCACUAAUUCUGCCAUAACAAUGAUGAAACAGCCAUGAAAAGUGUUUUUUGAUGAGGUUCAAACAGAAUUAAUGGAGGAGGAAGAAAUAUUUCGAUUGAAUUUGGCCGAAAAUGGUCGCUUGUUUGUGAUUUAUUGCUGGAUUUGGUCGUGUGGUAGGUCAUUUUUGGUGAGAGAUGGAAGAUUUGGGCAAUCAAUUCGCUGAAAACCUCAAACCAGUCGGCUGGGAUGCCUCUGUUCUGUAUUCUUUCCCUUCUCACUCUAUUCCUCUUUCUCUCGCACUGUCCCAAUCUCUUUCCCCCGUCUCAAUCUCUCUCUCGUCUCCCUACUCUCACCCCCUUCCAAUGGUAUUCUCUCCUCUCUUCUUUAAUGGAGUGCCUUUCAGGAGGAUGAUGGUGUAGGCGUAUUAGUGAGAAAGGGGUGUGUAUGUGAUGAGUGUGUGACCA